UACGGGGGGGGCAAGCGUUGUUCGGAAUUACUGGGCGUAAAGGGCGCGUAGGCGGUCUGUUAAGUUGGAUGUGAAAACUCUGGGCUUAACCCAGAGCCUGCAUCCAAAACUAGCAGGCUAGAGUUCUAGAGGGGAUAGCGGAAUUCCUGGUGUAGCGGUGAAAUGCGUAGAUAUCAGGAGGAACACCGGUGGCGAAGGCGGCUAUCUGGACAGAAACUGACGCUGAGGCGCGAAAGCUAGGGGAGCAAACAGG
This 253-nucleotide ribosomal RNA is filed under the name uncultured bacterium. Its description in RNAcentral is "partial 16S ribosomal RNA". It matches the Rfam family "Bacterial small subunit ribosomal RNA", at positions 524 to 776 of the family's 1533-position model. The record is from RNAcentral.